CCCUAACAACACACAACAUUCCAGGAAUGUACUACCAAAGUUCUAUCAAUAUUUGAAUGUCCUGGACAUUUAGGGAACAUUCGGUGAACAUCUGAUUAAAUUAUUCGUGGAAUGUUACCAUAAGACAUUCUGUGAACAUACUACCAAUGUUCCUAUAUGUUCAUUUUCAAAUUCACGGCGCAUGUAUUUGUGCAUGGUGCUUAGAGAGGGCAUCACGUGACUAAAAACGACCAAUGACCUCACUUCAGACUUCGGUGCUUCGGCCAUCUUGACAUGCAUCUUGGCCUUGGCCACCUUGCCGUGCGUGAUCGUUGUUUGUUUUUAUUUGUGCUUUUUAAGAAUAUUUUUUAAUUCGGAUACUUUUAUAAUAACUUUAAUAGUAUUAUUAAUAUAGUGCAUAAAAUCAGUUGGAGUAGCAGAAGCAAUGUAGAUAAAAAAUCUGCAGGAAUAAUGUUUCAAAGCUUUCCAGAAGAUCCUGCGAAGAAGGCAUGAAGUAUUGAUCAGAUUUGUUAAUAGAGCAGUAUGUUCAAAACAUUUUUUAGAAAAAGAUAUUGACAGAACUUCACUUUCAACCGUUUGAGAGACUGUGCUGUUCCAAUAGCUUAUAUCACACAGAAUCAGCUGAGAGAAGUGGUCUACAAAAAACCAGGAAGGAAAUGGAAUAUGUGGCUAUGAAAGGCAAAAGAAAGGUUUACAAAGCAAAUGUGACACAUUUUUUUUAUAGGAAUAUCAGUAAAUUACCUUAAAAAAAUGUAUGAAAAGAUUUUUUGCAAUAAAAAUGUUUAUAUUUA
Diabrotica virgifera virgifera (western corn rootworm) is the source of this 791-nucleotide long non-coding RNA. RefSeq lists it as uncharacterized. The transcript is spliced from 3 exons. NCBI's taxonomy places the organism in Eukaryota, Metazoa, Arthropoda, Insecta, Coleoptera, Chrysomelidae. The record is from RefSeq and is a predicted model, not a curated record.